This 119-nucleotide ribosomal RNA is filed under the name Pteropus alecto (black flying fox). Lineage: Eukaryota; Metazoa; Chordata; Mammalia; Chiroptera; Pteropodidae. The record is from RNAcentral.
GUCUACAGCCAUGUCACCCUGAACAUACUCCAUCUGGUCUGAUCUUGGAAGCCGAGCAGGGUCGGGCCUGGUUAGUACUUGGAUGAGAGACCACCUAGGAAGACUGGGUGCUGUAGGCA